This 1150-nucleotide ribosomal RNA is filed under the name Apiotrichum gracile. Its description in RNAcentral is "bacterial LSU rRNA". The record is from RNAcentral. Lineage: Eukaryota; Fungi; Basidiomycota; Tremellomycetes; Trichosporonales; Trichosporonaceae.
UAAAGAGUACCUAAUUAUUUUUAAUGAUUAGGUGUCACAAAAUAGGGGGUUGCGACUGUUUAAUAAAAACUUAGGACUCUGCUAAAUGGUAACAUGAUGUAUAGGGUCUGACACCUGCCCGGUGCUGGAAGAUUAAUAGGAGAUGUUUAAGCAUUAAAUGGAAGUCCCAGUAAACGGCGGCCGUAACUCUGACGGUCCUAAGGUAGCGAAAUUCCUUGUCGGGUAAGUUCCGACCUGCAUGAAUGGUGUAACGACAUCCCCGCUGUCUCCAAUAUAGACUCAGUGAAUUUGAAUUAUCCGUGAAGAUGCGGAUUUUCUAUAGUUAGACGGAAAGACCCCGUGAACCUUUACUACAUCUUUAUAUUGUUAUUUUAUCUAAUAUGUGUAGCAUAAGUGGGAAUCUUUGAAACCUUCACGCUAGUGAAUUGUUUAGAUAAUCUUGAAAUACCACUCUUAUUAAAAUAAAUAACUAAUAUUUUUAAAAAUAAACAUUGUAUGGUUGGUAGUUUGACUGGGGCGGUCACCUCCUAAAGAGUAACGGAGGUGUACAAAGGUAAGCUCAAAUUGGAUAAUAUUAUCAAUUGUAGAGCGUAAUGGUAAAAGCUUGCUUGACUGUAAGAUAGACAUAUCAAACAGGGACGAAAGUCGGUCAUAGUGAUCCGAUAAUUCUUUGUGGAAAGAUUAUCGCUCAACGGAUAAAAGGUACUCCGGGGAUAACAGGCUGAUGACUCCUAAGAGCUCCUAUCGACGGAGUCGUUUGGCACCUCGAUGUCGACUCAUCACAUCCUGGAGCUGAAGAAGGUUCCAAGGGUUCGGCUGUUCGCCGAUUAAAGUGGUACGUGAGUUGGGUUUAGAACGUCGUGAGACAGUUUGGUUCCUAUCUUCUAUAGAUAUUUUGAAAAAUGAAAGAAUCUAMCUCUAGUACGAGAGGACCGAGAAGGGUAAAUCUCUGGUGUAUCGGUUGUUUUUUAAAGCAUCGCCGAGUAGCUAAAUUUAUUUUGGAUAAUUACUGAAAGCAUCUAAGUAAGAAACCAUUCUUAAAAUUUUUUCAUAUGAAAACUGUAAAAGACUAUUACAUUAAUAGGUUUUAAGUGUAAGUAUUGUAAAGUAUUUAGCUUAAAAAUACUAAAAGUUUCAAAAUUUUUAAAUA